RNAcentral lists this long non-coding RNA (238 nucleotides) under Hordeum vulgare. RNAcentral's name for it is "long non-coding RNA (HVUL_LNC006970)". The record is from RNAcentral. Lineage: Eukaryota; Viridiplantae; Streptophyta; Magnoliopsida; Poales; Poaceae.
AACAAUGUGUGAAUUUAUCAACACCACAACAACUAUUGCACACAAAGUUUAUGGAUUUAUGAAAAUACUUAUAGGAAUUUGAUUAAAAUGAAAAAUAAAAAAAACUGAAAUCAAAAAGGGAAAAAAGAAUAGGAAAAACAAAAUGAGAAAACCGGCAACAAAACAUGAUGAGGAAAACCAAAAGAAAAAAUCACUCAAAAAACCAUCACUACAUUCAUUGCGAGGAUUCCCAAAAAAA